RNAcentral lists this long non-coding RNA (1685 nucleotides) under Homo sapiens (human). Its description in RNAcentral is "HSALNT0402447". Lineage: Eukaryota; Metazoa; Chordata; Mammalia; Primates; Hominidae. The record is from RNAcentral.
GCGGAACGCCGCGCCGCGCGACUGUGCCUCGGUCUCUGCGCCCGGCUCUCCCUCCGGUCCGCAAGAGGAGGAAGGCCCGCGGCGUGCCGAGGUCAGCGGCGCGGAGCCACCAGGCGAGACGGUCACGGACGCCUGAACCGAGGUCACCGAGGCCACGGGGCCGGGAGGCCCUCAGCAGAGCCCGGGGGCUCCGCACCUCAAGGCCGGCCAGGAAGAAACAGCAGCAGGAGCCCAGGGCGCCCCGGGGAGCCCCCGACACGCGGGCCGAGCGCCCAGAGCGGCCCAGGCCCUCGCGAGGAGACCGGCCUCCCCAGGGCGGGGCUUCCGACUCGGGCGCCCGUGAGCCCCGGAGGCGGCGCGAAGGGGCAGAGUCCGCGUUUCUAACCAGCCCCCGGGUGGGCGGUGGCCCGCGCGGCACGGUGGGCGCGAGCGCCGUGGGCUGGGGCCGGCCUGGGCUUUCAGGGCGAGGGCUUUCCGCGCCGGCCCCAGCCCACCCGGCCCCGCUGCGCGCCCCUCACGCUGCAGCCUGGGAACCUGGGCCGGGAGCUGCGGGCCGCUCCGGGGAAGCGGGCCUGACCUCCCCUCCCCACCGCCGCCCCUGCGGUGAGAUCCUGCCUGCCGGGGCGCAGGGGCCCGCGGUUGGGCUCCGGGAGACGGAAGAGGCCCCACAGCUCGGGCCCCACGCAGUGGACGCUGCCACUUAAUUUUGGCGUAAUUGAUGUCAAGGCGGGUGCCCGGGCCCCCAGUGAAAUGCCUCAUGAACUCGCUGCGAGGAACGGCGCUCCACGCGGUGCACGGUGGCCAAUCAGAGCUGCCGCUUCUGAUGGAGGCUGAGCCGGCUGGGGAGGCGUCUUGGCCAAGAACCAGCCCCAGCCUCGCUCAGGGCCCCAACCCGCAGACCAUGUAAUUAAGCUGCGUUCUGCAGCCAGGGCAAGACAGAAGAUGGGCGUUCCAGGCAGAGAAGAGCUGCCCAGUCACGUGCUCUGCUCCACCUGGUCAGAGACCCUUGACCUUUAGAAGACUGGACCUGAGGGCGUGGCUGGUGGACCUGAGGGCGUGGAUGGUGGACCUGGCCACCCAGCUGUAGCUUUUUGGGUUCCUGUGGUCCCAUUUCUUGGGUCAAUCUCACACCUGGCAGCUCCCAGGAAGACACCCCCAGGCCCCUCACACUCCUGGGGGCAGCUGGAAUUGGCUUCAGGGCGGGACCAGGGGCCCCAUGGGUGUUUGGAAUCCCUGAUCUGGGUCAGGCACCGGCAGCAGGAUUCCAGCCUGGCCUGGACUCUGGUGUGUCCCGUUUGAAGAAACCCCGCCCUGUGAAAGUUCAAGUUUAGCAUCCAAUGACCCAUUUAAGAGGUUUGCUGAGCCACGUCACAGGAGGGUCUGGGUGCAAACGGAGGUGGCAACACACAGAGCGAGCCUUGAGCACCCAGGUUACCCCCAGGACCUCCAGUCUGGCUUGGGGGCUCCUGCUGUCCUGUGGAGCAGCCCCCUGGGAUCAGGGACGGGGCUGAGCUGGAGAGUGUGCAGGAUUGAUUAAUGAUGUCUGCCACGGUCAGGCCAACUGCUGUGUUUCUGGGGCCCACAAGCUAAAAAUGGUUGGAAAAAAAUCAAAACAUUAAUAUUUGUGACAUAUGAGAAUGCUAUGAAAGUCAACUUUGCUAUCCAUAAAUAAAGUUUUAUUGACA